This 3095-nucleotide long non-coding RNA is filed under the name Lathyrus oleraceus (garden pea). RNAcentral's name for it is "Pisum sativum (pea) long non-coding RNA (PSAT_LNC040136)". Lineage: Eukaryota; Viridiplantae; Streptophyta; Magnoliopsida; Fabales; Fabaceae. The record is from RNAcentral.
CCUAUCAAUAAUCAUGGAAAUGUAUUCCAAAAAUACAGAACAUACACAAUUUAUUAACAAAAAUGCAACUCUUUAGUCAUAGGUUAAUCUUGACAAUAACAGGAGGAAAAUAAUCCACAGCAUCAUCAAAUUCAAACGACGCCAUACAAAACAAAAACAACAUAAUGUAAUAGUAACGGGAGAAUGGUCAUCACAAUGUCAUUGGAUUUGCAAAAUAUAUAACAAGUUUGAUGCUUAUGCUUUGUUUGUAAUACCUGUGUAGGAAAUCAAAGGUGCAGCAACAAUACGGCGCAACCGACUCGUUGUUCCGGCUUUGAAACUCUAUUUGGACUUGGUAAUAACUUGACUUCGUUCGCUAGAAUGGAGAGCUUCGCCGAGCUUACGAUGUACUCUUGAACCGGUGUUGUCGGCACCGUAAAAAGUUUUCAACUCAGAGGGUGUUGGAUCCAAAACUACAACAAAUAAAAUCACCUGCAAAAAAAAACAACACCCACAAGUGGAAACAGAUUGCAAUAAACGACGAGUCUCAGAAACAUUGAUCAAUAUUUGCCGAAAGAGUUCAGUUGAUAUCCGGCACAACUCAGCAGCUGUGUUGAAACGAAAUCGAUGUCGAGAUUUAAAGUGGACUUGUGAAGGCCGCGAGCGAGUUUUACGGCAUGGCAGGAGUUGUCAUGGGCGUGUGGUUGAACAAUUAUGUUGCAAAUUGUUGGUGGAGCUGCGAAAUUGAAGAGGUCUUGUGGAGGUGGAGACGGAGCGGAAAGAUUUUGAGGUUUAUGAGGUGUAGAAGGGGGUUUCCGACGUCUGUAGCGGUUUGGAUUAGGUGUAGGAGCUAGAGGGAGAUCGAUUGUUGGCGUUGAGAAAUGGAUUCACGACGGUUAUGGGUUGAGGAUGGAGGCCGACGUGUUUUGUUGUGAUUGCCGACGGAGGCGUGGUUUCCGGCAAUUCAACGAAGGGUGAAGGAGAGAUGAACAGUGAGAGACCUUUUUUUUCGUUUUUUUAAGAGAGGGUGACAGUCAUUAAAGAGUGUGAGGUAGCGUGAGGGAGUGAGAGAGAUGAUGGAGAGUGAUUUUGUGUGUGGCUCUAGGUAAUAGGCAAAGAGAGUCUAUGUAUGUGAGUGGAGAGAAACGUGUUGAAGAAGAGAGGAGUUGAGUGAGCUGUCAACUAAAAAAAAAAGAGAAUCCAAUGUUAUCUUAUUCUAAUAUUAUUAUUUUGAAAUCAUUAUUGUUAUUUAUUUUUAACUAAAAAUAUGAUAUCACAAAUAAAAAUUCAAAUUAUUUAAUUUGAUAUUUUGAAUAAAGAAAUAAAAUGACCUGAUUAAAAAUAGAAAUUGGGUAUAAAUUUACUCGAAAAUUAAAUCGGACACAUUAAAAUAAUCAGCACAAUAUACUUAUUGAAAAAAUACAGCGUUUCUUCAAAUUCUGAAAUAAAAACAAUUCUAAAUCACCUUAUAAUUCUAAUUAAUCUACAAUUAUUUCUAAAAAAAAGAAAUCUAAUUAAAUUCUAAAAUAUUUUCAAAGAUUAAAUUCUAAAAUCAUUCUAAAUUAAAUUAAAAUUUUAAAACAAUUCUAAAUUAUUAUAAUUCUAAAAUUAACAUAUGAAAUUAUUCUAAUAUAACCCUAACAUUAAUCAAGAUAGUGUCCUAAUUCUUUAAAGUGAUACUAAUAUUCACAAAAACUGUUCUUAGCAUAUUACAGGUUAUGUGUGUAAACAAGUGGUACUUAAAAAACUAUAGGAAAGAGAGGGGAACGGUGGAUCUCUCCUCCCUCCAAUCAAUAAUUGGCCUUUUUUAAAACUCACAAACAUAUAAUGGAUUAUUAACACAUGUUUCCCCUUUUUUUAAACAAAUAAAUGCAUAAACACCUAACUGAGACAAAAAGGAAACACCAGGGAGGCGAAUCACGCUCAUCUCUCUCCAUCAUCCAUCAUGUGCAUCAUAAUCCAAAACCAAAUAACAUACAAACAAAGCCUAUCAAUAAUCAUGGAAAUGUAUUCCAAAAAUACAGAACAUACACAAUUUAUUAACAAAAAUGCAACUCUUUAGUCAUAGGUUAAUCUUGACAAUAACAGGGAAGGAAAUAAUCCACAGCAUCAUCAAAUUCAAACGACGCCAUACAAAACAAAAACCAACAUAAUGUAAUAGUAACGGGAGAAUGGUCAUCACAAUCAGUAACCUAACACGUUUUAUAUAUUGUUCAAACUACGAAUACGUUUGUUUGUAAUACCUGUGUAGGAAAUCAAAGGUGCAGCAACAAUACGGCGCAACCGACUCGUUGUUCCCGGCUUUGAAACUCUAUUUGGACUUGGUAAUAACUUGACUCGUUCGCUAGAAUGGAGAGCUUCGCCGAGCUUACGAUGUACUCUUGAACCGGUGUUGUCGGCAACCGUAAAAAGUUUUCAACUCAGAGGGUGUUGGAUCCAAAACUACAACAAAUAAAAUCACCUGCAAAAAAAAAACAACACCCACAAGUGGAAACAGAUUGCAAUAAACGACGAGUCUCAGAAACAUUGGAUCAAUAUUUGCCGAAAGAGUAUCAGUUGAUAUCCGGCACAACUCAGCAGCUGUGUUGAAACGAAAUCGAUGUCGAGAUUUUAAAGUGGACUUGUGAAGGCCGCGAGCGAGUUUACGGCAUGGCAGGAGUUGUCAUGGGCGGUGGUGGUUGAACAAUUAUGUUGCAAAUUGUUGGUGGAGCUGCGAAAUUGAAGGAGGUCUUGUGGAGGUGGAGACGGAGCGGAAAGAUUUUGAGGUUUAUGAGGUGUAGGAAGGCGGGUUUCCGACGUCUGUAGCGGUUUGGAUUAGGUGUAGGAGCUAGAGGGAGAUCGAUUGUUGGCGUUGAGAAAUGGAUUCACGACGGUUAUGGGUUGAGGAUGGAGGCCGACGGUGUUUGUGUGAUUGCCGACGGAGGCGUGGUUUCCGGCAAUUCAACGAAGGGUGAAGGAGAGAUGAACAGUGAGAGACCUUUUUUUUCGUUUUUUUAGAGAGGGUGACAGUCAUUAAAGAGUGUGAGGUAGCGUGAGGGAGUGAGAGAGAUGAUGGAGAGUGAUUUUGUGUGUGGCUCUAGGUAAUAGGCAAAGAGAGUCUAUGUAUGUGAGUGGAG